This 75-nucleotide transfer RNA is filed under the name Camelus bactrianus (Bactrian camel). It matches the Rfam family "tRNA". Rfam says of the family: Transfer RNA (tRNA) molecules are approximately 80 nucleotides in length. Lineage: Eukaryota; Metazoa; Chordata; Mammalia; Artiodactyla; Camelidae. The record is from Rfam by way of RNAcentral. RNAcentral also lists the same sequence under 2 other names.
GUGGGUAUAGCUCAAUUGUAGAGCACAUGCUUUGCACGCCUGACAAGGUCCUGGGUUCAAUCCCCAGUACCUCCA